UUCCGGUUGAUCCUGCCGGCAGUGACCGCUAUUGGAGUCCGAUUAAGACAUGCGAGUCGAGAGCUUUCGGAGCUCGGCAUACUGCUCAGUAACACGUGGGUAACCUGCCCUAUGCUGGGGGAUAACCUCGGGAAACUGAGAACAAUACCCCAUAGUCCACUACGCCUGGAACGGUGAGUGGAUGAAAGCCCCGGCGGCAUAGGAUGGGCCUGCGGCGUAUCAGGUUGUAGGGGGUGUAAUGUACCCUCUAGCCUUCGACGCGUACGGGUUGUGAGAGCAAUAGCCCGGAGAUGGAUUCUGAGACAAGAAUCCAGGUCCCACGGGACGCAGCAGUCGCGAAACCUUGACAAUGCGGGAAACCGUGAUCAGGGGACUCCAAGUGCCAGGAGUAAGAUCCUGUGCUUUUCAUCUCUCUUCAAAGGAUUUGGAAUAAGAGGUGGGUAAGGACGGUGCCAGCCGCCGCGGUAAUACCGGCGCCUCAAGUGGUAGUCGAUUUUAUUGGGCCUAAAACGUCCGUCGCCGGUCUGGUGCAUUCGUGGGUAAAUCAACCCGCUCAACGGGUUGAAUUCUGCGAGCACGGCCAGACUAGGGACCGGGAGAGGUGUAGGGUACGCUCGGGGUAGGGGUAAAAUCCUGUCAUCCCGAGCGGACCACCUGUUGCGAAGGCGCUACACUAGAACGGAUCCGACGGUCAGGGACGAAGCCUAGGGGCACGAACCGGAUUAGAUACCCGGGUAGUCCUAGGUGUAAACGCUGUGGACUUGGUGUUGGAAGCUUCCCAGAGGGCUUUCAGUGCCGUAGCGAAGGUGAUAAGUCCACUGCCUGGGGAGUACGGUCGCAAGGCUGAAACUUAAAGGAAUUGGCGGGGGAACACCGCAACCUGAGGAUUGGGCGG
This 895-nucleotide ribosomal RNA is filed under the name unidentified archaeon. It matches the Rfam family "Archaeal small subunit ribosomal RNA", at positions 1 to 900 of the family's 1478-position model. The record is from RNAcentral.